Calocera viscosa is the source of this 83-nucleotide transfer RNA. It matches the Rfam family "tRNA". From Rfam's summary of the family: Transfer RNA (tRNA) molecules are approximately 80 nucleotides in length. Their secondary structure includes four short double-helical elements and three loops (D, anti-codon, and T loops). Further hydrogen bonds mediate the characteristic L-shaped molecular structure. tRNAs have two regions of fundamental functional importance: the anti-codon, which is responsible for specific mRNA codon recognition, and the 3' end, to which the tRNAs corresponding amino acid is attached (by aminoacyl-tRNA synthetases). tRNAs cope with the degeneracy of the genetic code in two manners: having more than one tRNA (with a specific anti-codon) for a particular amino acid; and 'wobble' base-pairing, i.e. permitting non-standard base-pairing at the 3rd anti-codon position. The record is from Rfam. Lineage: Eukaryota; Fungi; Basidiomycota; Dacrymycetes; Dacrymycetales; Dacrymycetaceae.
ACUUCCGUAGCACAGUGGUAGUGCAUCGUACUUAUGGGCAAACUGUCAUGCGAGGGUCACCAGUUCGAACCUGGUCGGAAGUA